ACAUCCAGAGAAUUUAGCAGAGAUGCUUUAGUGCCUUCGGGAACUCUGAGACAGGUGCUGCAUGGCUGUCGUCAGCUCGUGUUGUGAAAUGUUGGGUUAAGUCCCGNAACGAGCGCAACCCUUAUCCUUUGUUGCCAGCACGUAAUGGUGGGAACUCAAAGGAGACUGCCGGUGAUAAACCGGAGGAAGGUGGGGAUGACGUCAAGUCAUCAUGGCCCUUACGAGUAGGGCUACACACGUGCUACAAUGGCGCAUACAAAGAGAAGCGACCUCGCGAGAGCAAGCGGACCUCAUAAAGUGCGUCGUAGUCCGGAUUGGAGUCUGCAACUCGACUCCAUGAAGUCGGAAUCGCUAGUAAUCGUAAAUCAGAAUGUUACGGUGAAUACGUUCCCGGGCCUUGUACACACCGCCCGUCACACCAUGGAAGUGGGUUGCAAAAGAAGUAGAUAGCUUAACCUUCGGGAGGGCGUUUACCACUUUGUGAUUCAUGACUGGGGUGAAGUCGUAACAAGGUAAGCGUAGUGCU
This 526-nucleotide ribosomal RNA is filed under the name uncultured bacterium. Its description in RNAcentral is "bacterial SSU rRNA". It matches the Rfam family "Bacterial small subunit ribosomal RNA", at positions 984 to 1509 of the family's 1533-position model. The record is from RNAcentral.